GAGUUUGAUCCUGGCUCAGAUUGAACGCUGGCGGCAGGCCUAACACAUGCAAGUCGAGCGGCAGCGGGAAGAUAGCUUGCUAUCUUCGCCGACGAGCGGCGGACGGGUGAGUAAUACCUGGGGAUCUGCCCAAUCGAGGGGGAUAACAGUUGGAAACGACUGCUAAUACCGCAUACGCCCUACGGGGGAAAGGAGGGGACCUUCGGGCCUUCCGCGAUUGGAUGAACCCAGGCGGGAUUAGCUAGUAGGUGAGGUAAUGGCUCACCUAGGCGACGAUCCCUAGCUGUUCUGAGAGGNUGGACAGCCACACUGGAACUGAGACACGGUCCAGACUCCUACGGGAGGCAGCAGUGGGGAAUAUUGGACAAUGGGGGAAACCCUGAUCCAGCCAUGCCGCGUGUGUGAAGAAGGCCUUCGGGUUGUAAAGCACUUUCAGUGGGGAGGAAAGGUUGAUGGUUAAUACCUAUCAGCUGUGACGUUACCCACAGAAGAAGCACCGGCUAACUCCGUGCCAUCAGCCGCGGU
RNAcentral lists this ribosomal RNA (525 nucleotides) under uncultured bacterium. Its description in RNAcentral is "bacterial SSU rRNA". It matches the Rfam family "Bacterial small subunit ribosomal RNA", at positions 9 to 521 of the family's 1533-position model. The record is from RNAcentral.